UCUGUUCGAGAUCACACAAAGGAACUUGAGAGCUUCCUGGGACCGUCUUGUUUGAUAUCACCCACUUGUGUCUCACCUUGCUUGUCCCCUGUUAGGACCCACAUCUUGAUGUUGGCCAGGGAGAGCAGAGCGAUGGUCUCCGGGACACCUUCUUGCAGUUUGUCCUCUAUAGCUGUAGCACCCAGCAACUAGACAGUAGACAUUGAAUUGCCUUAAAGAGACUUUAACGUGAAGAUCCCUGUAGGCCAGAGCCAGUGUCCGUAGACCAUCAGUAGCGUACUCCUGGAGAUACCCCAUACCAAAUAAAGGUUGCGUGAGCUGGUGUUGCCACCACGACAGCAGAUGGCAGCAGAGUCACCCAUGACUGAUUCUGUGGUCGGUGACUCACAUUGAGGUGGUCUGAGGUCAUGUUGAUCAGGUCUUGCUUACAGGGGCGGAGCCUCUCGAACAACACGGUGUCAGCUCCUUUGCAGUACAGACGGAUCCUGCCCUCGGGGUUACGGACUGACAAACAAA
This is a long non-coding RNA of Syngnathus acus (greater pipefish), 516 nucleotides long. RefSeq lists it as uncharacterized. Lineage: Eukaryota; Metazoa; Chordata; Actinopteri; Syngnathiformes; Syngnathidae. The record is from RefSeq and is a predicted model, not a curated record. The transcript is spliced from 2 exons.